Molecule: non-coding RNA, 89 nt
Organism: Ornithorhynchus anatinus (platypus)
Lineage: Eukaryota; Metazoa; Chordata; Mammalia; Monotremata; Ornithorhynchidae
Source: Rfam
CUCUUUGUUGUCAAUGAUGCAUUCAUGUUGAAACUGAAUCCAAGUGAUUUAACUGAACAAUUCGUCACUACCACUGAGACAACACAAAA